GACGAACGCUGGCGGCGUGCCUAAUACAUGCAAGUUGAGCGAUGAAGAUUGGUGCUUGCACCAAUUUGAAGAGCAGCGAACGGGUGAGUAACGCGUGGGGAAUCUGCCUUUGAGCGGGGGACAACAUUAGGAAACGAAUGCUAAUACCGCAUAACAACUUUAAACAUAAGUUUUACGUUUGAAAGAUGCAAUUGCAUCACUCAAAGAUGAUCCCGCGUUGUAUUAGCUAGUUGGUGAGGUAAAGGCUCACCAAGGCGAGGAGACAUAGCCGACCUGAGAGGGUGAGCGGCCACAUUGGGACGUAGACACGGCCCAAACUCCUACGGGAGGCAGCCGUAGGGAAUCUUCGGCAAUGGACGAAAGUCUGACCGAGCAACGCCGCGUGAGUGCAGAAUGUUUUCGGAUCGUAAAACUCUGUUGGUAGAGAAGAACGUUGGUGAGAGUGGAAAGCUCAUCAAGUGACGGUAACUACCCAGAAAGGGACGGCUAACUACGUG
Molecule: ribosomal RNA, 497 nt
Filed under: uncultured bacterium
Lineage: Bacteria
Description: partial 16S ribosomal RNA
Rfam family: Bacterial small subunit ribosomal RNA
Source: RNAcentral